This is a small nucleolar RNA of Suncus etruscus (white-toothed pygmy shrew), 137 nucleotides long. RefSeq annotates it as small nucleolar RNA SNORA51. The record is from RefSeq and is a predicted model, not a curated record. NCBI's taxonomy places the organism in Eukaryota, Metazoa, Chordata, Mammalia, Eulipotyphla, Soricidae. The transcript has a single exon.
AACCACCGUUCUUAAAUUAAGAAACUAUUAUCAUUCUUUACAUUGACUAUAUAGAAAGAGGAGGUACAGUAAAUGCACCCAUAUACACCUCAACCCAGGCCCUUUGCCUGGUCUGUAUUGUGAAUUGGGGGACAAAA